UUCAGGGGUAACCUGAGAAACCCGAAAGGUCGGCGGGGAAAUUCAAUCGCGUUUCGUUGCCUAACCCUUGGUGGUUGUGUGACGUGCGGCUCACGGGCCGUGUGCACCGAUCGCUUUGGCAGAUUGGGCGCGAACGCGUGCACUUUUCCUCUUGUCGGACGUCGCGAUCCGUUGGGUGUCGGUCUAAGGCUUUGCGGUGGUGACCCAUUUGAUAAAUUUAUUUUUGUCAUAUGGAACCCGUAUUGUCCCGACCGGCUCGCUCGACGGUAUCGAAUGAUGGUGCAGGGCCGCGACUUAAUUCGCGUUCGGCUCAAAGCAAGCCCGAAUGAUGUGUUGGUGUGUCGGAUUUAAUGCCGAUCCCGAUCUCAUUCGACUGUGGCUUUGAUGUUCUCGAACAGACUCUGUGUAACGCCAAUCAGCGACGCUAUUGCUUUGGGUACUUUCAGGACCCGUCUUGAAACACGGACCAAGGAGUCUAGCAUGUGCGCAAGUCAAUGGGAUAAAACUAAACCUAAAGGCGCAAUGAAAGUAAAGGUCAGCCUUGUGCUGGCCAAGGGAAGAUGGGUGGUCAUCCUAAUUUAGGUGUCACUCCGCACUCCCGGGGCGUCUCAUUCUCAUUGCGAGAAGAGGCGCACCAAGAGCGUACACGCUGGGACCCGAAAGAUGGUGAACUAUGCCUGGUCAGGACGAAGUCAGGGGAAACC
Molecule: ribosomal RNA, 704 nt
Filed under: Stelidota sp. SDJB-2010
Lineage: Eukaryota; Metazoa; Arthropoda; Insecta; Coleoptera; Nitidulidae
Description: eukaryotic LSU rRNA
Rfam family: Eukaryotic large subunit ribosomal RNA
Source: RNAcentral